Molecule: ribosomal RNA, 855 nt
Filed under: uncultured bacterium
Lineage: Bacteria
Description: bacterial SSU rRNA
Rfam family: Bacterial small subunit ribosomal RNA
Source: RNAcentral
CUCUUCGGGGAUGAUUAACCGGCGCACGGGUGAGUAACACGUGAGUGACCUGCCUUUUAGACUGGAACAACUUACCGAAAGGUGAGCUAAUGCCGGAUGAGUUAUAUAAGUGCAUGUUUAUAUAGGAAAAGUUGGGGAGACCUGACGCUGAAAGAUGGACUCGCGUCCCAUUAGCUAGUUGGUAGGGUAAUGGCCUACCAAGGCGACGAUGGGUAGCCGGCCUGAGAGGGUGGCCGGCCACACUGGGACUGAGACACGGCCCAGACUCCUACGGGAGGCAGCAGUGGGGAAUUUUGCGCAAUGCUCGUAAGAGUGACGCAGCGACGCCGCGUGAAUGACGAAGGCCUUCGGGUCGUAAAGUUCUUUCGACAGGGAAGAAAAUGCCUAUAAGUAACUGUGUAUGUAUUGACGGUACCUGUAUAAGCAGCCCCGGCUAACUCCGUGCCAGCAGCCGCGGUAAUACGGAGGGGGCGAGCGUUGUUCGGAGUGACUGGGCGUAAAGAGCACGUAGGCGGUGUUGUAAGUCAUUAGUCAAAGACUAGAGCUCAACUUUAGUAAGGCUAGUGAUACUAUAAUACUAGAGUAUCAGAGAGGAUUGCAGAAUUCCUGGUGUAGCGGUGAAAUGCGUAGAUAUCAGGAGGAAUACCGUUAGCGAAGGCGGCAAUCUGGCUGGAAACUGGCGCUGAGGUGCGAAAGCGUGGGUAGCAAACAGGAUUAGAUACCCUGGUAGUCCACGCUGUAAACGAUGGAUGCUAGGUGUUGGGCUUUUAAGUUCAGUGCCGCAGCAAACGCGAUAAGCAUCCCGCCUGGGGAGUACGUUUGCAAGAACGAAACUCAAAGGAAUUGACGGGGGCC